GAUGAACGCUAGCUACAGGCUUAACACAUGCAAGUCGAGGGGAAACGACAUCGAAAGCUUGCUUUUGAUGGGCGUCGACCGGCGCACGGGUGAGUAACGCGUAUCCAACCUGCCCACCACUUGGGGAUAACCUUGCGAAAGUACGACUAAUACCCAAUGACGUCUCUAGAAGACAUCUGAAAGAGAUUAAAGAUUUAUCGGUGAUGGAUGGGGAUGCGUCUGAUUAGCUUGUUGGCGGGGUAACGGCCCACCAGGGCGACGAUCAGUAGGGGUUCUGAGAGGAAGGUCCCCCACAUUGGAACUGAGACACGGUCCAAACUCCUACGGGAGGCAGCAGUGAGGAAUAUUGGUCAAUGGGCGAGAGCCUGAGCCAGCCAAGUAGCGUGCAGGAUGACGGCCCUAUGGGUUGUAAACUGCUUUUAUAAGGGAAUAAAGUGAGCCUCGUGAGGCUUUUUGCAUGUACCUUAUGAAUAAGGACCGGCUAAUUCCGUGCCAGCAGCCGCCGUAA
RNAcentral lists this ribosomal RNA (508 nucleotides) under uncultured bacterium. RNAcentral's name for it is "partial 16S ribosomal RNA". It matches the Rfam family "Bacterial small subunit ribosomal RNA", at positions 28 to 523 of the family's 1533-position model. The record is from RNAcentral.